UAUCGGUAUGGGAUGGGGUCGCGUCCUAUCAGCUUGAUGGCGGGGUAACGGCCCACCAUGGCUUCGACGGGUAGCCGGCCUGAGAGGGCGACCGGCCACAUUGGGACUGAGAUACGGCCCAGACUCCUACGGGAGGCAGCAGUGGGGAAUAUUGCACAAUGGGCGCAAGCCUGAUGCAGCGACGCCGCGUGCGGGAUGACGGCCUUCGGGUUGUAAACCGCUUUUGACUGGGAGCAAGCCCUUCGGGGUGAGUGUACCUUUCGAAUAAGCACCGGCUAACUACGUGCCAGCAGCCGCGGUAAUACGUAGGGUGCAAGCGUUAUCCGGAAUUAUUGGGCGUAAAGGGCUCGUAGGCGGUUCGUCGCGUCCGGUGUGAAAGUCCAUCGCUUAACGGUGGAUCCGCGCCGGGUACGGGCGGG
RNAcentral lists this ribosomal RNA (419 nucleotides) under uncultured Bifidobacterium sp. RNAcentral's name for it is "bacterial SSU rRNA". It matches the Rfam family "Bacterial small subunit ribosomal RNA", at positions 213 to 640 of the family's 1533-position model. Lineage: Bacteria; Bacillati; Actinomycetota; Actinomycetes; Bifidobacteriales; Bifidobacteriaceae. The record is from RNAcentral.